Molecule: ribosomal RNA, 254 nt
Filed under: uncultured bacterium
Lineage: Bacteria
Description: partial 16S ribosomal RNA
Rfam family: Bacterial small subunit ribosomal RNA
Source: RNAcentral
UACGUAGGGUGCGAGCGUUGUCCGGAAUUAUUGGGCGUAAAGAGCUCGUAGGCGGUCUGUCGCGUCGAUCGUGAAAACUUGGGGCUUAACCCUGAGCUUGCGGUCGAUACGGGCAUGACUGGAGUUCGGCAGGGGAGACUGGAAUUCCUGGUGUAGCGGUGAAAUGCGCAGAUAUCAGGAGGAACACCGGGGGCGAAGGCGGGUCUCUGGGCCGAUACUGACGCUGAGGAGCGAAAGCGUGGGGAGCAAACAGG